This is a long non-coding RNA of Microplitis mediator, 473 nucleotides long. RefSeq lists it as uncharacterized. The transcript has 3 exons. NCBI's taxonomy places the organism in Eukaryota, Metazoa, Arthropoda, Insecta, Hymenoptera, Braconidae. The record is from RefSeq and is a predicted model, not a curated record.
AUCACAAUUAACUAAUUUUUUUAUAGGCACAUUAUGGUGUGGCGUUGGGUCAAUUGCUAAAAAUAAAGACGAAUUUGGUUUUUUUAAACAUACUGAUGCUUGUUGUCGUGAACAUGACAAUUGUCCCUGGAUUUUAUCCCCGGGAAAAAGAUUAUUCAAUCUUUAUAACGAUGGAACUUACACGCGCUCGCAUUGUGAUUGUGACAAAAAAUUUUACAAUUGUUUAAAAAAUGUGUCGACUGUUAUUUCAUUUAAAAUAGGCAUUGAAUAUUUUAAUCUUUUAGCGCCGUCUUGUUUUACUUAUGAUCAUCCGAUUAAACGAUGCGUCAAAUAUCAUGGAUUAAGAAAAAAAUGUAUUCAAUAUGAAGUUGAUGAAUCGGGUCCACUAAAGUGGCAAUGGAGAGAUAAUAAAUUGUUUUUUAAUUUUUUAUAAAAUUUAAAAUUCAUUCGGCGAGAAGUUUUUUUAGUGACAU